GUUAGACCGCCGUGGAUCCUAUAGAUGUGGUUUUUGACGGUUUUUCAUCAUUUUUAUCAUGAUGACUCCAUUAUAACUAAAUUAUUCAAUGGAUUACGUUAAAACAAUGUUCUGUUAUGAUUAGCAGCAGUGAUGAUCACCAGGGCUUUCGUAAUUCGAAUUACCUUGAAGAAGAAACAGCAGGCGACGCAAUGGUCUUAACAUUUUUUUUCCCGGAUAUCUGAAAAGGAUUAAAUCUAAUCUUUUGAUGUGACCACGACGUGAACACGAUGUGAGGUAACUGUGGACAUGGUGUAAACUGUCAAUGGUAUGAAAGAACGGUUUUUCAGUAAUUUUUUUAUUCUAUAAUAUUUAUUUCUCAAAUGCAGGUAUGCAGAAGUAAUAUUAAAUCAUUAUAUACUAAUCUUGAAUACCAUUGUCUAGACAUAAAUGUGUUAUUGACUUACUUUUUACCACAAAAGUUUCGUACUGAUUUGAGAUUCGCCUACAACCUGGAAAAUAAUAUGGUCCGACUCCAAUUUCAUUCAUUAAUGACGCUGUGAUACAUGCAUUUUUUACUGAAUUUGACCAGAGGUAGAUUUAGUAAGUUAAAUACAGUAUUUCCUCCGAAUAUGGCCCUUCUGAAUAGAGCUACUUCUCGUAAUCUUUGCUCGAGCGCUUUCGUCACUAUAUAUUUCUGUUAAUGAGUGUUUAGAUAUUUACAUAUGUAAAGAGACACGCAGUCCUAUUCAGAGGUAAAGCCAGCUGAGUCAAGUCAUGGUUCGACAUAUUGGUAGGGGAAGUAACUUCUAAGAAUCAUAUUCCCCUCACCGCCUUCGAGCGGCCUUAUUUGGAAGUAAUACUGUAAGUCAAAAUUAUAUCUAUUUCUUAAAUUAAGUUAGAUAUCGAGUUCUUGAAACGAGACCAUUUUUUGGGGCAUGCUUCCACGUCGUUUACAAUAUGACGAUAACUUGUCCAUAAAUUCUGUGAAUUUAAGCACACCGUUCCACCCCCUCGCUCCAAUUGUGAACUCUGAAAUGUAAAUAAUUUUAUUAAAACGAAGUAUCGUUUAUCACAUAUUGUAACGGCAGAAAAAUAAAAAUCAUCAUGAGGUGGCACUUUCCUCGUACAAGAUAUAAAAGGAAAAGAAGUUCAGUGACAAGUGUGAGAACCUGAAAAUAUGAGUUUAGAAUACUCACAGCUCUGUUAAUGUCACCUAUGCAUACCCAAUUGUGAUUUUUGUUAGCACUAUUAGAUACAGCCCAUUUUGAAUGAUCCUGUAAUGAUGUAAACAUCACAUUUGCCUCGGGAAAAUUAAUGGACUUGAUGUUCAUCACUCUGCAAUAAUCGACAACAAUUUUGUACUGCAAGUUCGUAAGAUAAAUAUGUUUAUGAACUGUGCGUAUCUAAUAAGUAUGUGCCAAAACUUACUUUGUACCACUACAAUCUGAUGGCAAUAUGCCAGGACCAUGUACCCAUGUCUCAGCCAAAAGAUCUGCUCCAAGUUGCGGUGCAACAAAUUCAUCAUACAGAUCUGCAAUUACAUAUAAAAUUAAAAUUGUGAAGAUUAACUAUACUGUACUGUUUUGUAGCAACAUAUAUAUAUAUAAGUAUAAAAAUCCAAAGACAGUAAGUAGUCAAGCUAUUGAACGAUUUAAGGAAUGCCAUUGAAAGCCUGGUUAUUAAGUUUCAUAUUAAUAAUAAGAAGUUGUUCAUAUCAUAAUUAUUAAAUCGUUUUGUUUUGUUGUAAAACAGAAGCAGAACCGGAGUAAUUUUAAUUGUUCUUUGAUCAUUCACAGCCACUAAUUGUAUUUAGAAUUAACAUUUCCACCAUACAUUGCUAACAAUUUUCGUCAAAAAAGCAUUGUCGAAGUAAAGCCUAAUCUGCAAUUCCUACGGAAAAGAAACAUUGAAGCUGAGAAUAAAACAUUCUUUACCCUUUUCCCACUUGUCACUUUUGGCAAAUGAUAUAAAUUCAGUUCCACUCAAAGACUGAAUUGAUGUUUUAUGGUUGUACGGAGCAUUUUUGAUGCGAAUCCUGUUAGCUGCUUUUGUCAGAACCGGGUACUGCUGAGUAAGGUCUUCUGGCAAAUUAUUCUUGUAUGUAAUAAUUUCAUUGUACAUCAAUUGCAUGCCUAUAAGAUCAAACUGAUCUUUAUCUACAGAAAUACACAAGAAGCUUUGUCCAUACAGUUGUCCAGUUUUAGGAUAGCUGUAACCUGCAUCUGAAAGUGAUUUUACAUCCACAGAUCUUUCUUUGCGAGCUCUUAGUGGAGGCUCAGUGCCAUGAUCGGGUGCUGGAGGAUAUCGAGGCACACUGUGAAUCAACCAGAAACCUUGGUGGGUGUCUGCUAUCACUACACCUUUGGAAUGCCCAUACUUUACCGUAGCAGUCUUAUUGGGCGCGUGGUCGUUAUAUAAAGUCCAAAGAAUUGAGUUGUUCUAAUGAUUAUAAAAUAAAUGUUAAUUUCAACUUUUUCAA
Molecule: long non-coding RNA, 2461 nt
Organism: Neodiprion fabricii
Lineage: Eukaryota; Metazoa; Arthropoda; Insecta; Hymenoptera; Diprionidae
Exons: 2
Source: RefSeq, a predicted model, not a curated record